AUGUUUAUGCAAAGCAUUUGUUACAUUUGUUGCUUGACAGUGAAAAUAUUUUGUUAGGUCUUCCUUUGAUAUCCUGAAAGCUGGGAUAUGGAUAGGAUAAACAAGACAUUUGUGAGAGAAUUCAUUCUUCUGGGACUCUCUGGUUACCCGAAACUUGAGAUCAUUUUUUUUUCUCUAAUUCUAGUAAUGUAUCUAGUGAUUCUAACUGGCAACGGUGUUCUGAUCAUAGCAAGCACCUUUGAUUCCCGUCUUCACACCCCCAUGUACUUCUUCCUGGGCAACCUCUCUUUCCUGGACAUCUGCUAUACAUCCUCCUCUGUUCCCUCAACUUUGGUGAGCUUAAUUUCAAAGAAAAGGAACAUUUCCUUCUCUGGAUGCGCAGUACAGAUGUUCUUUGGGUUUGCAAUGGGCUCAACAGAGUGUUUGCUCCUUGGCAUGAUGGCUUUUGAUCGCUAUGUAGCCAUCUGUAGCCCCCUGAGAUACCCUGUCAUCAUGAGCAAGGUGGUGUAUGUACUGAUGGCUUCUGUGUCAUGGCUCUCCGGUGGAAUCAACUCAAUUGUGCAAACAUCUCUUGCCAUGCGAUUGCCUUUCUGUGGGAAUAAUAUUAUUAAUCAUUUCUUAUGUGAGAUAUUAGCUGUCCUUAAGCUAGCUUGUGCUGACAUAUCCCUCAAUAUUAUCACCAUGGUGAUAUCAAAUAUGGCAUUCCUGGUUCUUCCACUGCUGGUCAUUUUUUUCUCCUAUGUGUUCAUUCUCUACACCAUCUUGAGAAUGAACUCAGCCACAGGGAGACGCAAAGCCUUUUCCACCUGUUCAGCGCAUCUGACUGUGGUGAUCAUGUUUUAUGGUACCAUCUUCUUCAUGUAUGCUAAGCCCAAGUCUCAAGACCGCCUUGGGAAUGACAAUCUGCAAGCUACAGAAGGGCUUAUUUCCCUGUUUUAUGGGGUAGUGACCCCCAUGCUAAAUCCUAUAAUCUAUAGCUUGAGAAAUAAGGAUGUUAAAGCUGCUGUGAAAUAUUUGCUGAAUUGGAAAGCUGUUAAGCAAUAA
Odobenus rosmarus divergens (Pacific walrus) is the source of this 1044-nucleotide RNA transcript. It is a transcript of the gene named olfactory receptor 13C3-like, with no coding region annotated. Lineage: Eukaryota; Metazoa; Chordata; Mammalia; Carnivora; Odobenidae. The transcript has a single exon. The record is from RefSeq and is a predicted model, not a curated record.